Molecule: ribosomal RNA, 740 nt
Filed under: uncultured bacterium
Lineage: Bacteria
Also listed under: 1 other name
Description: bacterial SSU rRNA
Rfam family: Bacterial small subunit ribosomal RNA
Source: RNAcentral
AGAGUUUGAUCAUGGCUCAGAACGAACGCUGGCGGCAGGCUUAACACAUGCAAGUCGAACGCACCUUCGGGUGAGUGGCAGACGGGUGAGUAACGCGUGGGAACGUGCCCUUCAGUUCGGAAUAACCCAGGGAAACUUGGGCUAAUACCGGAUACGUGCGAGAGCAGAAAGAUUUAUCGCUGAAGGAUCGGCCCGCGUCUGAUUAGCUAGUUGGUGGGGUAAUGGCCCACCAAGGCGACGAUCAGUAGCUGGUCUGAGAGGAUGAUCAGCCACAUUGGGACUGAGACACGGCCCAAACUCCUACGGGAGGCAGCAGUGGGGAAUAUUGGACAAUGGGCGCAAGCCUGAUCCAGCCAUGCCGCGUGAGUGAUGAAGGCCUUAGGGUUGUAAAGCUCUUUCGGCGGGGACGAUAAUGACGGUACCCGCAGAAGAAGCCCCGGCUAACUUCGUGCCAGCAGCCGCGGUAAUACGAAGGGGGCUAGCGUUGUUCGGAAUCACUGGGCGUAAAGGGCGCGUAGGCGGCUUGAUAAGUCGGGGGUGAAAGCCUGUGGCUCAACCACAGAAUUGCCUUCGAUACUGUCUGGCUUGAGACCGGAAGAGGUAAGUGGAACUGCGAGUGUAGAGGUGAAAUUCGUAGAUAUUCGCAAGAACACCAGUGGCGAAGGCGGCUUACUGGUCCGGUUCUGACGCUGAGGCGCGAAAGCGUGGGGAGCAAACAGGAUUAGAUACCCCAGUAGUCC